GAUGAACGCUGGCGGCGUGCCUAAUACAUGCAAGUCAAGCGAACAGACGAGGAGCUUGCUCCUCUGACGUUAGCGGCGGACGGGUGAGUAACACGUGGAUAACCUACCUAUAAGACUGGGAUAACUUCGGGAAACCGGAGCUAAUACCGGAUAUAUAUUUAAACCCCAUGUUUCAUUGUUGAAAACGGUUUUGCCGUUACUUAUUGAAGGAAUCGCGCCGCAUUAGCUAGUUGGUAAGGUAACGGCUUACCAAGGCGACGAUGCGUAGCCGACCUGAGAGGGUGAUCGGCCACACUGGAACUGAGACACGGUCCAGACUCCUACGGGAGGCAGCAGUAGGGAAUCUUCCGCAAUGGGCGAAAGCCUGACGGAGCAACGCCGCGUGAGUGAUGAAGGUCUUCGGAUCGUAAAACUCUGUUAUUAGGGAAGAACAAAUGUGUAAGUAACUAUGCACGUCUUGACGGUACCUAAUCAGAAAGCCACGGCUAACUACGUG
This 496-nucleotide ribosomal RNA is filed under the name uncultured bacterium. RNAcentral describes it as "partial 16S ribosomal RNA". It matches the Rfam family "Bacterial small subunit ribosomal RNA", at positions 28 to 507 of the family's 1533-position model. The record is from RNAcentral.